GGGAGGUUUUUGUUAAGCUCUGUAGUACUGUGACUGGGGGGAUUCGAGCACAGUGUUACAAAACCCACAGAGACCUGUACAAAAACUGCCUGGGCCAAAGCACCAUUUCCCUGGGAAAGCCUCAGCCUCCCUCUGGUGCCACAUGGGAUGAACACAGCAGGUACCCUUCCUUCCUUUGCUCUGCAAACCAGAAGGGAUGCCAGGAAGUUGACUGGACCUGGAGAAAUGACCACAGUGGCUGGCCUCUCAUUUGCUGCUAUUUCCUGGGUAACUAUGGCAAUUCAACAUUUACUUACACAGCACAUUAUGGAGAACACAAGAUAAAUGAAGAUGUUUUGUUAAAAAUGAUCCUUGUAUGUUUUCAUGCUGAUUCUACUGAAAAGAGAAAAAAGACUUACCUGAGCCAUCUCCUAUGGGAUUUCUGAGCCCAGGUCCUUAGAUUUGCCUCGGAGCUUUGUGUUUGCAAAUUGGGAAGGUGAAUUUGAAGAUGGAUUUGUCUGUAGACAAUCAGUAGCCAUAUGGUGACUGUAAAGGUCUUGAGUAAUCAUGGGCCCAAGACCCAACAGCUCCAUGGACCAACUUUCUGGGGCUAAGAGUUAGUUGUGUGUCUGGAAAAUGUCAACAGUCUAAAACAAUGGGCAAUGAAAUAGAAAACUUUCUUGGUGUGCUGUGCUGGAGACAUUCACCCCAGGAAUGUAAGCUCCUACCUGCUCCUCAGACUAAAGCCUCCAAAAGCAGCCCUGACCUUGCCUGCAGUUGUUAAAUCAUAGUGAACCUGUUGGACAGGCAACAAGUGCCACCUUUCAAGGAAUUACAUAUGGAAAACCAAUGGGUCCUAAAGCCCAUAGGAGAAAGGAAGGUGGCAUCACUUGCUGGGGUUUUGGGAGCACUCUCAAUGACUGUGCAACCGACAAGCUUAUCUUUGGACAAGGAACUCAAGUGACUGUGGAACCAAGAAUCCAGCCUCCUACCAAACCAUCUGUUUUCAUCAUGAAAAAUGGAACAAAAGUCGCUUGUUUGGUGAAGGAUUUUUAUCCCAAAAAUGUACAGAUACAUCUUGAAUCGUCCAAGAAGAUAGCAGAAUUUGACCCUGCUGUAGUCAUCUCUCCCAGUGGGAAGUACAGUGCUAUCAAGCUCGGUCAGUAUGAAGAUUCCAGUUCAGUGACAUGUUCAGUUCAGCACAACAACAAAACCGUGCACUCCACUGACUUUGAAUUGAAGACAAGUUCUUUGGGUAAUGUAAAACAAACAGAGAUUGAAAACAUGACCCAAACUUCAGAAAGCUGCCACAAAUCAAGAGUUCACACAGAGAAGGUGAACAUGAUGUCACUCACAGUGCUGGGACUACGAAUGUUGCUUGCCAAGAGUGUUGCUGUCAAUUUUGUCUUGACAGCUAAAUUAUUUUUCUUUUAAGGCUGACUGGCAUGAGGAGGAUAUACAACCUGAAAAAAAACAAAAGCUUAUGAAGAUGCUAUAUGCUAGACUUCAGACUUCUUGGUGAUUCAAAUUGACCUGUCAUAGCCUUACUUAAAUUUAAACCAGUUUUUUUAAAGCAACAAACCCAGUUCAACCUCUAGUCUUUUACCAAAGUAAAAACCUUAGGAAAUGGGAGUUUAUGAUCAAACAUGAUACGCUACUUUAUAAAGGGCUAGAGAGAUAUAUAAAUAUAGCUCUAUUGUAUUAAUUCCUAUAGCAUAUAUUUGGAAAACAAUGUUUCAUUCCCCUCUACUUUUGUUUUUCUCUUUUUUGCUUUCUCUUUAUUCUAAAGAGAUUCUAAAGUUUAAGUAGGGCCUUGGGCUUGCUAGACAGGUGCUCUACCAUAGCCAAGCUAUUGGUUGAGACAAAUGUCUCCCCAACUUUUUGCCCUAAGUGGCUUCAAAUCAAAAUCCUCCCUAUCUCAGCCUCCCAAGUAGCUAGGAUUAAAGCUCUGAGCCACACAGCUGACUCCCUUUCUUUAUCUCCAGAAAUAGGAAGCAGGAAACAGUAGGUUCCCAGCACCAUUCUCCAUGAAGAAAAUAGUCUCUAAGAGAAGGAGAGCAACCAUCCUUGUUUCUAAAUAUGGAAGGCUCUGUUCCACCUAGCCUCGGCUGCCAGGCCAGCGUCCUGGAUGAAGGACUCUAUUGCACAGAGCACUAAGCUGCAAGGCCAGGUCUACAUCCUCCCCUGCUGUGACUUGGUUUGCCCUCCACAUUGCUCUAGAAGCCACACCAGAGAUUUUUCAUGGCAGCACUGGGGCAGAAGAUAAUUAGAGGGCUUUCUGGUUUUCUUAGUACUUCUCAAACAAAAUUACAUUUGGCUUCCCCAAUCCUCUUCAUUCAGGCAAAGGAGUUGCUUGUUUGCUUGCUCACGUGUUUUCUUGCUUUUUUAUUAUUUAGUAUACUUUAGUCUUACAAAGGAGAUUUCAUUCAUCCAUCAUGUAUGAAAUAUAUCUGAAUCAACCCCACCCCUCCAUACUCUCCCCCCAGCCUACCAUCCCCUUGCCCUCUGGUUGGUCCCCUCCCUCCCCAUCUAAACAAGUUUGUUUUGCUUUCCUCUUUUUCUUUUUCAGUGUAUAUUAAUUACACCAAGAGUCAAUGAGGUUUCUAAAAUUUGAUCCAAAUACUGUCCACUCUGCUAGCCAAAAUGAUAGUUAAAUUCAGAGGUAAAGCAUGGCACCUCUUCCUGUGGAUUGACUUCAUGUUCAUGAACUGACUUCCUCUCAGCCCCUGGCACUACACUGGGGGUGCACAGAUGUAAGACAAGGGCCCUGUUUUCCAGCAAUUUUCUUCCCUUCUGGAGGGAGGGAUAGGAAUGACCUCUAUCUUUCCCUGUAACAAUAAAAUCUUUAUUGCUUUGCUACCAGUCUGUGCACAGGAAGUUUGAGAUCACUGGAUAGGAUUCAUUUGCCCUUGGCCUCUGGUGUUGGUGGUCUCUGCCUUUCUUUUCAGUGCC
Dipodomys spectabilis (banner-tailed kangaroo rat) is the source of this 2931-nucleotide non-coding RNA. Lineage: Eukaryota; Metazoa; Chordata; Mammalia; Rodentia; Heteromyidae. The record is from the annotation of a RefSeq genome assembly.